RNAcentral lists this non-coding RNA (501 nucleotides) under Pan troglodytes (chimpanzee). The record is from RNAcentral. Lineage: Eukaryota; Metazoa; Chordata; Mammalia; Primates; Hominidae.
AUGACAGGGCGUUGAAGGGAAGGAAAAGUUGAGGGAAACGAGGAAACUAUUUCCAUAGGAGAAUGCUUUUUCACUUAAGUCGAAACUGGCUUUGUACUGACGCCCAGCAGGGGAAACUCCCCGGACACUCACAGACAUUCAUCUGGUUACUUGCAGGAACAUCUGCCUUUCCUGGUGACACCCUCUGCCCUGCAGUCUUCAUUUUCCCUGGAUAGCCCAGCGUCAUUUAAAUACUCAGAAGCCUCUCUUUCUAUGCUGUUGUCUGCAAAGAGAUGAACGGACCUGUGCAGACGGCUGGCCAGUGACGCCGGGAUCUCUAGGUCCUUCCAAAGUGCCUACGGAAAGCUUUGUCCCAUCCUUGAAAAAUUGCUAAUGGGUUUGGAGAUACAAGGUGGAGAUGACUAGCAAUCAAACUCAAAGGUGGAAGUCACAUCGAGGCAGAUGAGCAGAUGAGGGGACCUAGAGAAGAAGAGAGGUGCAAGGAGAGCCCAGCCAGCAGGA